GGGAACAGAAGGACGGGCAGGAGGACAGAGGUCCCCACCUGUCAAAAUGCCUAUCCUGAAGAAUCUGGGAGUGUCAGACCCUAAGGUGCCCCGGGCGGGGACCCUGCCCCUGAGGUCCUCUCGGAACCCCUUUGAAGAAGUUUCAGGGCUGGAGGAAGAAGAGGCCGGGGAGCUGGGGUCCCUCCCCAAUGGAACAUCUUGUCGCCGCCGCGCCACCCUGGAGAAGCUUGCGGGCCUGGCCCCCUUCCGGCUGGGCUGGGCCCCGGGCCGGCGGGCAGGCAGCCCUGGGGAUGGGCAGCCCCGCUCUUUCUUGGGCCGUGUGCUGGUACCAGGGAUACGCAGGAGCUCAGCAGAUUUUGGCCUCCUGGCCCGGCUGCAUGGGACCCGAGCCCACGGCGACGAGGAGGCAGCGGGGGAGGCCGCCCGGAGACUGGCCUUCCUGAGACUGGGGCGUGGAUCC
RNAcentral lists this long non-coding RNA (460 nucleotides) under Homo sapiens (human). RNAcentral's name for it is "non-protein coding lnc-TRAPPC6A-3:3". The record is from RNAcentral. Lineage: Eukaryota; Metazoa; Chordata; Mammalia; Primates; Hominidae.